RNAcentral lists this ribosomal RNA (1371 nucleotides) under uncultured bacterium. Its description in RNAcentral is "bacterial SSU rRNA". It matches the Rfam family "Bacterial small subunit ribosomal RNA", at positions 28 to 1381 of the family's 1533-position model. The record is from RNAcentral.
GAUGAACGCUGGCGGCGUGCCUAAUACAUGCAAGUCGAGCGAACGGACGAGAAGCUUGCUUCUCUGAUGUUAGCGGCGGACGGGUGAGUAACACGUGGAUAACCUACCUAUAAGACUGGGAUAACUUCGGGAAACCGUAGCUAAUACCGGAUAAUAUUUUGAACCGCAUGGUUCAAAAGUGAAAGACGGUCUUGCUGUCACUUAUAGAUGGAUCCGCGCUGCAUUAGCUAGUUGGUAAGGUAACGGCUUACCAAGGCAACGAUGCAUAGCCGACCUGAGAGGGUGAUCGGCCACACUGGAACUGAGACACGGUCCAGACUCCUACGGGAGGCAGCAGUAGGGAAUCUUCCGCAAUGGGCGAAAGCCUGACGGAGCAACGCCGCGUGAGUGAUGAAGGUCUUCGGAUCGUAAAACUCUGUUAUUAGGGAAGAACAUAUGUGUAAGUAACUGUGCACAUCUUGACGGUACCUAAUCAGAAAGCCACGGCUAACUACGUGCCAGCAGCCGCGGUAAUACGUAGGUGGCAAGCGUUAUCCGGAAUUAUUGGGCGUAAAGCGCGCGUAGCGGUUUUUUAAGUCUGAUGUGAAAGCCCACGGCUCAACCGUGGAGGGUCAUUGGAAACUGGAAAACUUGAGUGCAGAAGAGGAAAGUGGAAUUCCAUGUGUAGCGGUGAAAUGCGCAGAGAUAUGGAGGAACACCAGUGGCGAAGGCGACUUUCUGGUCUGUAACUGACGCUGAUGUGCGAAAGCGUGGGGAUCAAACAGGAUUAGAUACCCUGGUAGUCCACGCCGUAAACGAUGGGUGCUAAGUGUUAGGGGGUUUCCGCCCCUUAGUGCUGCAGCUAACGCAUUAAGCACUCCGCCUGGGGAGUACGACCGCAAGGUUGAAACUCAAAGGAAUUGACGGGGACCCGCACAAGCGGUGGAGCAUGUGGUUUAAUUCGAAGCAACGCGAAGAACCUUACCAAAUCUUGACAUCCUUUGACAACUCUAGAGAUAGAGCCUUCCCCUUCGGGGGACAAAGUGACAGGUGGUGCAUGGUUGUCGUCAGCUCGUGUCGUGAGAUGUUGGGUUAAGUCCCGCAACGAGCGCAACCCUUAAGCUUAGUUGCCAUCAUUAAGUUGGGCACUCUAAGUUGACUGCCGGUGACAAACCGGAGGAAGGUGGGGAUGACGUCAAAUCAUCAUGCCCCUUAUGAUUUGGGCUACACACGUGCUACAAUGGACAAUACAAAGGGCAGCGAAACCGCGAGGUCAAGCAAAUCCCAUAAAGUUGUUCUCAGUUCGGAUUGUAGUCUGCAACUCGACUACAUGAAGCUGGAAUCGCUAGUAAUCGUAGAUCAGCAUGCUACGGUGAAUACGUUCCCGGGUCU